UUACAAAAUGGCUCAUCUGUCGCUAACUAGAGGCUUAAAAAUAUUUGUUCUUCGACAUUAAUUCAUAAUAAUUUUGUGAAUUUCGAUUGCAGUUCUACAUUCUAUUACUGAUUAUGAAAAGGCAGCUGUGUUGUAUAAAUUAUAAAACGCUAAAGAUUAAUGUACAGAAAGAAGGAACUAUUUGGCCAUUGUAACCGUGAUUGGUAUUCCCCACGUGGUAAUCAAAAGACAAAACUGUUAGACAUUUAGAUAAUUUCUUCCGUACCAACUAUUCUAUCUUCGUUUUGACAAGGUCUUCCUAAUUUCUUAUUUGAAUUUUUCCAUACAGAAUAGAAAUGAUAGAUAUUUAAACUGUAGGCUGCCAAGCAAAACGCUACAAUUUCUAUGCCAAAAAAUGGAAACACUGCACUUGUACGUUGGUGUUUAUUGAGAACAUUCAAAUUAAUAGCUUUGUUGCAUAUUUUUAUUCUAUUUCAGCCCAUUUAAAAGGUUUUGGCAACACUAUCCUGUUACAUGGAGGUUUUUUCCAGCUUUAAUGUACAUUCGUCUUUGGCAAUUGGUACUGCAGAUGCUUGAUUCACUAUUUUAUGAUUUGUGAAAUGAUAUGCUGACUCAUUGAAGUGAUGGCAGUCUAUUCCUGAAUGUAGGACCAUUGCAUUUUAGCAAAUCCUUUGAAGAAGGAAAACAACCAUUGUUUUUCGUGGAUCAACAAAUGAGUGUGGUAUGACACUCCUUAAAAACCAUACUGCCAUCAAAUAUUAGUGAAAAGCAGCUGCUAUUCAAACAGUUUUUUAUAAUGCCGCGUCAAUGGCAAAGCAAAACCCCAAAACAGCCAUGAGAAAGUAUACCUAGGGACGAUCUGAGGUCACUGGACUACCUCGCACUUAAUGGAUUCGCAUUGGCCAGGAGAUUUAGCUUAAAACUGACUUGGCUGAAAGGACCGGUACCAUUUCCUGUUCUCGAAAGGGCAUGCCGUUCCACACUGCUAUUAAUUCGGUUGGUUAUUGCUUCUGGAAUUACCAUCUACGACGCUCUAUGUAAAAGUUAACUACAACGAAUACUUGUACUUGUACUUGAGCAAUUAGGUAAAUGAAAUGUUUCUUUAUUUUAAUUUGAUUCUUUCACCGCAGAUGGCGAAUUUGGUUUUUAAACGAAAGCUCCACCCCAUUAACGACGUGACGUAAUUUUUCUUGCCUACCCUUCUUUUCUUUGUUCCAAGAACCAUAAAGGUCAAGUCCAAAAUCCACUUUGCUUUGUCGUCAUCGUGUCUCUGGGUAGAUGAGUUACCUGUACCGCUUCUCCGCAGUAAUUACUUUUCCCUCCCUACCCCUCUGCUAUUCAUCCCCUAGACGUUUUAUUUUCUGUCUAAAUGGCUGUUGACACCACACUAGCCGAAUCAGGAUGGCGAAUUUUAAUUGAAAUGGCGCGUUCGGAAGGUCUACCCUUUUUCGAGCAAAUGCAAGUUCGUGAAAAUGAGUUCCCUCAGCUGGAAAUCUGGCCGCCAUUCCAUCGGGCUUUCAUUGUUGCAGUCUCGGCCGACCCUCGAUGCUCUUACAAAACCCAUCUGAUGAGGAUGAUUGUGCUCCACGAUCUCAGAUUUAUUUUUGAAGUUGUUGGUCAAGUACAUCACGUGGGUUCUUUCUUCACCGACAAUAGGAUUGACGAAAAUCAGAUGCGAUCAGAGCUCGGGAAGCUCAUGACGGCUACUGUUUGUAAAGGACGUCGUCCGAUCGAGGUAUACGAAGGCCCUAAUGUGACAGAAGUCAUGAGGCAAGGAAUGGCUGAUGGAAAUUAUUCCACUGCUGCUGAUUAUCGCUAUCGUUCGGCAGGCUGCGAACUGUUAGUUGAUCAACCUGGCCAAACAAGAUGUUCGUCUUGUUUGCAGUCGCUUGAAGAUUAAUUUCUUGUAACUGAAUUACGGCAAGAAACGAUGUACAUGUUUACAAGAUGAAUCGUCUGAUGCAAAAUGGUAUGCCUUUUGUUUUCCUUACUUUUCUUUCCUUAUUACAAUUUUGGGACAAUAAAUAGAGAAAGAUGAAAGGCGUUACCUGGAUCUGUGUGGUUUGAGCAAUAGUUGUGUAAAUCUAACUGAGACCGAUUCUUAGAACUUUUAUAACUGUUCUUUUAUGGUUCUAGGAACUUCUGAUUGUUGGAGGCAUUGAGCUUGGAGAUUGUACGGCUUCCAUACUCCACUCUUUUACUCUUGCUGUUGUCCUAUUCGCAUGUUCGCAUCCAUUAGAAUGCGGUCUAAAUGGCAUUGCCAAUUCAUCAAUGUAACUAAUUUAUCAACUGACAAUUUAAAUUGAUUCUAGCUCAUUUCAAAAAUCGAAAUCGAAGCUCUUCCAUAGCAAGAUGAUCAUCAAGUGUCCCGCUGAUACGUUCAACCACAGCCAAAAUUAGUUACAGCUUGCUGUGGUGUUUUCGGGGUCAGUCACCAAAGAACUUGGAUUACAGAUCCAUUUGGGAAAUUAGCAUGCCAUGUACACCUCAAUUAAUGCUUUUUAUUGUCUGUUAGUGAUAAUUUCCUGCAAUCGCUGGGAAUGUGUUGUAAGCACUUAGGAUUUUAGAUGUUGGUUUUUUGUCACAGGCAGGAUAAGUCGUAUUCGAUUUUGUGCAGACUUAGUCCCACUUCUACAUUAGAAGCAAGAUAUUGAAAAAGUAACCUCAUCUGAAAGAAUGAUAAAAGUCGAGUGUUUUGCUUUGGCAUGUCUUAAUUUGAAACUGAGCAGUAAUUGGAAAAGCGGAUAUUGGACGCCACUAAUACUUUUAGAACGAGGACAAGAUCGCAAGUGUUCCACCUCGCAAUAAGAUGAGAUGCAACUUUAGAAGAAAAAUAGGUCACCGGUAGAAGAAAUAGAAAUUAGAAGCACUGCAACUCUAAGCUGCUUAAACUGGCAUCAGUAUCCAAAGCAACAAAUGUUCACUGAAUUUUACUUGGAUGAGAGGUGUUCCGUAAGAUAUAUCUUAGUGAAAUAGUUGUUUAGGGUUUUCCAUGUUCAAGAACCACAGGCUCCUGACUGACUACAAAACUACGCAAUACAUUCCUGCUGUUUGCUCUUUAAGGAAUCUUUGGAAGGAUUUCACCACACGAAAAUAGUUUUGUGCUAGGAGCUUUCUCAAAUGAGAUAAUCUUGGAAAUCAAGUUGGUUGUCUAAAGGUACUAAAGAAUUACUCGGUUUCUAUCUGAAUUUUCGUUGUUACAUUUUUUAUUGGUGAUAAACGAAUGAAGGAGAAAAACUUGCUUUGCCAACGGAAUGUAUUUCGUUAUAAACUGCUUUUUAAUACCAGGAGAAUUUUGGAAACAGCAGAGCCAUCUUUUUCGAGAUUUCCUUAGGUUUCACCGCGUGGAAUGGUUUGCGGAGCCGGGGUCAGUGGUUGGCAUUUUUGACUCUCGUUGUCAUUUGCUUGACCGAUGACGAUCAUCCCAAUGAAUGUUCCCAAACAAAUAAUUGCUACUACCACGCAAAUCGCAUUAUGGUUUGAAAUAAUGAAAUCCGAGGCUUUUUUCCGGAAAAUUUCCAGCUUGCUCGUUGGUGGUAGAUCCAUUGUAAGAGAGCUAUCCAAUUGUGCUGCAAUGCAACGGUGAGUGAGCAAAGGAAUGCUGUAUCACGCUCAGCAGACGAUUGCAACGGACCAUGGCCUACUGUAAUAAAGGUAUCCCCUUUUUUCGUAAAAUUGUGUUAUUUCUUCGUGUUCGUAACACCAUGCUACAGAGAAAAGACAUGAAGCAUGUGACUGACCUCCAAUUCAAUUUAUCUUCAUAUACUUUUCCUUUUUAUGUGUCUUUUUCAUUUCUAUCGAUUCGGACAUCUGUGGAAGAAAAACAAUUCCUGUAAAUGGAUAAAAUUUUAUUAUUCUUCAAGGUAGCACUCAAUGCUGUCCUCUUGACUGCAGACAUCUAUAUAGUACAGCCUAACAGAGCCAAAGAUCUGCUCCCCUUAGUGGGCAUAUUACAGAAUUUGUCUACUGGGAGUUUCACGUUGGCUAGGAAUCAUCUUCAGAAAACCAUUAAUACUCUCUGCGCCACCCACAAUGUUCCAAAAAUGGAUGAACUUUUUCUUUUUAGUACAAACAAGCAAAUUCAUUAGCAGUAGAUGCAGUAGAUAUUCAGCCACAAAUUGUUUUUAAAAAAUUGAUAUUUUGUGUUUCACAUAAUAGAGCCACUGAAAUUGACUUCUGGGAAAGGACUCAGGUUUAACAAGUUUUGGUCAUUCUCAUAUCAUGUACUCUCCACCCAAUUGUAGUGCAAGCAACUUACCGUUUUGCCUCCCACCUCAUGUCUCAACCUUCUUACCAAAAGCUGUAGCAGUUAAUGACAUUACUGGACAUUCAUCCCAAGCACAUGCAGAAACGAAGAUUUACAAAUGACAUGGAUUGUGUUCUUAUUGUCAUUAUGCAACCAAUACUAGCAGCUAGAUAAACUGUUCCCAAUAACCCAUGCAUAUUGUUUAGGGUAAUUGGCAAUGAAACACAAGAAUGCCGUUAUCAGGAGCACCACCAUUUAGGCAGAUACAGAUGGUUAUUACAAGUUGUUGAAUGUAAC
Daphnia carinata is the source of this 4543-nucleotide long non-coding RNA. RefSeq lists it as uncharacterized. The record is from RefSeq and is a predicted model, not a curated record. The transcript has 11 exons. NCBI's taxonomy places the organism in Eukaryota, Metazoa, Arthropoda, Branchiopoda, Diplostraca, Daphniidae.